Podarcis lilfordi (Lilford's wall lizard) is the source of this 72-nucleotide non-coding RNA. The record is from the annotation of a GenBank genome assembly. NCBI's taxonomy places the organism in Eukaryota, Metazoa, Chordata, Lepidosauria, Squamata, Lacertidae.
GGGGCCAUAGCUCAGUGGCAGAGCAUCUGUUUUGCAUGCAGAAAGUCCCGGAUUCCAUCCCUGGUGUCUCCA